GGCUUCCCUUGCAGUGUAGCUUCUACUGAGAUCUUGACAGUGGUAUCAACUGAAUUUCCAUAAGAUGGCACAUCUGUGGCAGUUUCCGCCAUACUUGACCCAAUAUUGCUCCUCUCAAGAGGCUAAUCUGGAGUCAUCUUCUAGACCUUGCUCCUUUGCCACCGAAUCACCCCCAGUUUCUGAAGAUUGUUGACCAUCACUCGUUGUAUUUUCAUGCUUUUCUAACAGCGCAAAACCACUAUAGUUAUUGUCAUCCUCUUCCUUCCACAUUCCUGAUCCAGUUGCAUCAUUGUUGAAUUUAGUCUCUGCAUUAUCCAGAGAUUCUUGCUUUUUAUCAACAGUCAAUGGUUCCGGCUUUCUCAACAGAGUCAUAUCA
Molecule: unclassified non-coding RNA, 376 nt
Filed under: Hevea brasiliensis (rubber tree)
Lineage: Eukaryota; Viridiplantae; Streptophyta; Magnoliopsida; Malpighiales; Euphorbiaceae
Source: RNAcentral